This is a non-coding RNA of Pelobates cultripes (western spadefoot toad), 499 nucleotides long. NCBI's taxonomy places the organism in Eukaryota, Metazoa, Chordata, Amphibia, Anura, Pelobatidae. The record is from the annotation of a GenBank genome assembly.
GAGACAUUAUGGCAGACACUGAGACACUAAGGGAGACUGAGAGACAUUAUGGCAGACACUGAGACACUAAAGGACAUUAGGAGACAUUAUGGCAGACACUGAGACACUAAGGGACAUUGGGAGACACAUUAUGGCAGACGCUGGGACACUAAGGGACAUUGGGAGACAUUAUGGCAGACACUGAGACACUACGGGACAUUGGGAGACAUUAUGGCAGACGCUGGGACACUAAGGGACAUUGGGAGACAAUAUGGCAGACACUGAGACACUAAGGGACAUUGGGAGACAUUAUGGCAGACACUGAGACCCUAAGGGACAUUGGGAGACAUUAUGGCAGACACUGAGACACUAAGGGACAUUGGGAGACAAUAUGGCAGACACUGAGACACUAAGGGACAUUGGGAGACAUUAUGGCAGACACUGAGACACUAAGGGACACUGGGAGACAUUAUGGCAGACACUGAGACACUAAGGGACAUUGGGAGACAUUAUGGCAGAC